Molecule: ribosomal RNA, 253 nt
Filed under: uncultured bacterium
Lineage: Bacteria
Description: partial 16S ribosomal RNA
Rfam family: Bacterial small subunit ribosomal RNA
Source: RNAcentral
AACGUAGGAGGCAAGCGUUAUCCGGAGUUACUGGGCGUAAAGCGCGUGUAGGUGGAUCGGUAAGUUACUUAUAAAAGCUCCUGGCUAAACUAGGAGAGGUUGAGUGAUACUGCCAGUCUUGAAUAGAGGAGAGGUUGACGGAAUUCCGCGUGUAGUGGUGAAAUGCGUAGAGAUGCGGAAGAGCACCAGUGGCGAAGGCGACUACCUGGCCUGUUCUUGACGCUGAGGCGCGAAAGCUAGGGGAGCAAACGGG